Molecule: unclassified non-coding RNA, 341 nt
Filed under: soil metagenome
Description: partial contains 5.8S ribosomal RNA, internal transcribed spacer 2, and large subunit ribosomal RNA
Rfam family: 5.8S ribosomal RNA (bases 1-120)
Source: RNAcentral
GAUGAAGAACGUAGCGAAAUGCGAUAAGUAGUGUGAAUUGCAGAAUUCAGUGAAUCAUCGAAUCUUUGAACGCACAUUGCGCCCUUUGGUAUUCCAAAGGGCAUGCCUGUUCGAGCGUCAUUUGUACCCUCAAGCUUUGCUUGGUGUUGGGCGUCUUGUCUCUAGCUUUGCUGGAGACUCGACUUAAAGUAAUUGGCAGCCGGCCUACUGGUUUCGGAGCGCAGCACAAGUCGCACUCUCUAUCAGCAAAGGUCUAGCAUCCAUUAAGCCUUUUUUUCAACUUUUGACCUCGGAUCAGGUAGGGAUACCCGCUGAACUUAAGCAUAUCAAUAAGCGGAGGA